GAGAGAGGAGAGGAGAGGGAAAGGGAAAGGGGGAUACCUAGUCAGUUGUACAACUGAAUGCCUUCAACUGAACUGUGUCUUCCGAAUUUAACCCAACCCCUCUGAAUCAGAGAGGUUCGGAGGGCUGCCUUAAGAGAGCUUCACUCAUUAUGGACAGCUACUAAGCGCUUCAGCACUCGGCGGUCCUGUUCUGUGAGCUUGUGUGGCCUACCACUUCGCAGCUGAGCUGUUAUUGCUCCAAGACGUUUCCACUUCACAAUAACAGCACUUACAGUUGACCGGGGCAGCUCUAGCAGGGCAGACAUUUGACAAACUAACUUGUUGGAAAGGUGGCGUCCUAUGAUGGUGCCACGUUGAAAGUCAGUGAGCUCUUCAGAAGAAGGCAAUGAGGGGGCUGCAGUACGUUGGCAUGGCCAAACACGGUGUGGAAUUAGAGUUUCAGGCAUUAAGCUGCACAGGCCACAGUGACCCAAGACCAGGUUGACAUUCAGAGCCUUACCCACCAUGACAAUACUGUUCCCUGGUCAGGGAUGAAAGGAGGGCUGGUCUUUCUGGAGAGAGAACCAAGAGGCGGGGACAGGGACAAGAGCUCCAUUGGGAGGGGUGAGUAGAAGACGGGUUGACUCCAUGGUCCGUAUAGAAUGCCACCGGCCCAGCACACACAGACGGCAAAACCCCAACACCUAUCUAUGCACGGAGGUUGUCCAUUGUGACAUAAGGUUGACAUGAAUUGGCUUGUAUUGGCAAAGCUGUAGGUGCUGUAAGUACUGGGAUCGACUGGCGCAGGAACUAACUUCAGCAUGGACAAUAGGAGAGACAAACUCAUCAGAGAUGGGUUAGGUCAAGAUGUGUUUAUAUUAUAUUGCCUGGUCCCAGAUCGGUUUGUGCUGUCUUGCCAACCCUGGUCCCAGAUCUGUUUGUGCUGUCCUACUAACUCGGCAAGGCAGUACCAACAGAUCUGGGGCUAGGCUAGAUGAUAUAUCGUGGGUGUCUUUUUUCCUGCAUUUUGAAUGAGGGCCAGUGUUUUCAUCAAAGCUGAUAGGAGAUUAGUGAGGGUGUCACACAGGGAGACAGAGGAGGGCCAUCUGCAUACCUCACACCUUUCAGCGACAACACACAGAAUCACGUCUGUAGUGUCGCUCAGACAGGGGUGGAAACAUCUGCAAAAACCAACACAAACACCACACAUAUAUGCACACAUACAAAAACACACAUACACACACAUACACGUAAACACAAACACACUUGUAUUACUUCCUGGAAGCCACUCAUGACGAAAGAGCCACCUUAAGAAAACACACGAGAUUGAUUUCAUUAAACGGGUAGUUAAUGUUUUUCACAACUCAUUAAAGAUAAUUGCAAUCCUUUUCUCUUUGAGUGACACUAGUUAUUGACUAUCAGGCAGAAAUAGCGGUUGAUGUUAUUGACAUGCUUUACCGCUUCUCUGCAGGGACGCU
This 1457-nucleotide long non-coding RNA is filed under the name Salmo salar (Atlantic salmon). RNAcentral describes it as "lncRNA (ENSSSAG00000097265.1)". Lineage: Eukaryota; Metazoa; Chordata; Actinopteri; Salmoniformes; Salmonidae. The record is from RNAcentral.